This 460-nucleotide ribosomal RNA is filed under the name uncultured bacterium. RNAcentral describes it as "partial 16S ribosomal RNA". It matches the Rfam family "Bacterial small subunit ribosomal RNA", at positions 338 to 795 of the family's 1533-position model. The record is from RNAcentral.
CCUACGGGGGGCAGCAGUGAGGAAUAUUGGUCAAUGGCCGGAAGGCUGAACCAGCCAUGCCGCGUGAAGGUCAGUGCCCUAUGGGCGUUAAACUUCUUUUGUGCGGGAGCAAUAAUGGUCACGUGUGGCCAGACGAGAGUACCGUACGAAUAAGCAUCGGCUAACUCCGUGCCAGCAGCCGCGGUAAUACGGGGGAUGCAAGCGUUAUCCGGAUUUAUUGGGUUUAAAGGGUGCGUAGGCUGUGAGGUAAGUCAGAGGUGAAAUGCCCCCGCUCAACGGGGUGAAGUGCCAUUGAUACUGCCUGGCUGGAAUGCGGAUGCCGUGGGAGGAAUGUGUGGUGUAGCGGUGAAAUGCAUAGAUAUCACACAGAACACCGAUUGCGAAGGCAUCUCACGAAUCCGCGAUUGACGCUGAUGCACGAAAGCGUGGGUAUCAAACAGGAUUAGAUACCCCAGUAGUC